Tympanuchus pallidicinctus (lesser prairie-chicken) is the source of this 1223-nucleotide long non-coding RNA. RefSeq lists it as uncharacterized. The record is from RefSeq and is a predicted model, not a curated record. Lineage: Eukaryota; Metazoa; Chordata; Aves; Galliformes; Phasianidae. The transcript has 3 exons.
UGUCACGGUGUGUGGUAUCGCGCUCUUCUUCCCGUUUCCCAGCAGAUCACAGGGCCUUGCAGCAACAGGGUGUUGAGAUCCGCGCUCUCUCGCCCGGUGUGGCUCCCUCCUGCACCGGGCACGAGGUCCAGUGGGAACAGCACAAGCAUUUUUAUCUGCUUGCUUGGGCUUUUUACAGUCCCUUUGUACACGUGGGCCUUCCUGUGCCCAAAGCCAGAAGAAAGGGGGCUUGCUGCUCCAUACCCAGAAGAAAGGGGUUGUCCUGGGCCAGAAACCAGAACGAAGGGACUGGCUGGACUAAAACACAGAAGGAACGUGGCGGGCUGGGCAGACAGCCAGAAGGAACGGGGCUUCCUGGGGCAGAAUGGAGCAGGAAAGCAGCCUGCUGGGCAGCAAAUCCGUCAGGGAGAUUCUUGCUGUGCAGAAGCUGAGAAGGAAGGGGGCUCACCAGGAAGAAACCCCGAUGGCAGAGGGCUUGCUCAGCUCAAAGCCAGAAAGAAGUGGACUUGCUCUACUGAAACAGUGAAGAAGAGAGGCUGGAAAGGUCAAACGCCAGAAGGAAUGAGGAUUGCUGGGCCCAAAGCCGGAAGGAAAGGUCCUUGCUGGGCUGGAAUGAAUAGAGAAGGGUUUUGCUGCUCCUGAGCCCAGAAGGAAGAGGGCUUGUAAGACCAUACCCAGAAGAAAGGGGGAGUGCUGGGCAACAAACCAGAAGGAAGGGGGCUUGCUGGACUCAAACCCAGAAGGAAGGGGCUUGCUGGUCCAUACCCAGAAAGAAGUGGGUGUGCUGCGCCACAAAGCAACAAGAAGAACCAGCAGUGGCAGCAACGAUGUCGAGACAACGACUUUCACAGGCAUGAGAAGUAAUGGAGAUGUGCACAGUUCUUCCAGCCGCUGUGCAAAGAGCGAAUCCAAACCAGCGCUCUUCUUUACAAGUCCCUUCAUGCUGUGAGGUUUCUGCCAACGGUGGGUGUGCUUACAACAGAGACAUGAGUUUUCUUUCAUUGUUAUUUUGUUCCAGGCGUGUACCUGGACAGAGCCCAGCAGUUCCAUGAUACCAUUGUGUCCGUGAUGCUUUCCUAGUGAAGGGAGUUUCACCUGGGUGAUACCUCCUUGUACAGCCAAAUGCACUGAAACCAAAACGAACCUUGCUGUUAUUCAUUUCAUGUGGUCAUUUAAGUGGCCAUUUUAAUACAAUGUAUUUUAAUCAGAGAGAUGCCAGUCAG